GACGAACGCUGGCGGCGUGCCUAAUACAUGCAAGUAGAACGCUGAAGAGAGGAGCUUACUCUUCUUGGAUGAGUUGCGAACGGGUGAGUAACGCGUAGGUAACCUGCCUUGUAGCGGGGGAUAACUAUUGGAAACGAUAGCUAAUACCGCAUAACAAUGGAUGACACAUGUCAUUUAUUUGAAAGGGGCAAUUGCUCCACUACAAGAUGGACCUGCGUUGUAUUAGCUAGUAGGUGAGGUAAUGGCUCACCUAGGCGACGAUACAUAGCCGACCUGAGAGGGUGAUCGGCCACGCUGGGACUGAGACACGGCCCAGACUCCUACGGGAGGCAGCAGUAGGGAAUCUUCGGCAAUGGGGGCAACCCUGACCGAGCAACGCCGCGUGAGUGAAGAAGGUUUUCGGAUCGUAAAGCUCUGUUGUAAGUCAAGAACGGGUGUGAGAGUGGAAAGUUCACACUGUGACGGUAGCUUACCAGAAAGGGACGGCUAACUACGUG
RNAcentral lists this ribosomal RNA (497 nucleotides) under uncultured bacterium. RNAcentral describes it as "partial 16S ribosomal RNA". It matches the Rfam family "Bacterial small subunit ribosomal RNA", at positions 28 to 507 of the family's 1533-position model. The record is from RNAcentral.